This 28-nucleotide ribosomal RNA is filed under the name Phoma sp. Fanqin14. Its description in RNAcentral is "partial 18S ribosomal RNA". Lineage: Eukaryota; Fungi; Ascomycota; Dothideomycetes; Pleosporales; Didymellaceae. The record is from RNAcentral.
CCGUUAGGUACUGCGGCAGGACAUUACC